UACGUAGGGUGCGAGCGUUAUCCGGAUUCAUUGGGCGUAAAGAGCGUGUAGGCGGCCAGGUAGGUCGGUUGUGAAAACUGGAGGCUCAACCUUCAGAGGUCGACCGAAACCAUCUGGCUAGAGUCCGGGAGAGGAGAGUGGAAUUCCUGGUGUAGCGGUGAAAUGCGCAGAUAUCAGGAAGAACACCCGUGGCGAAAGCGGCUCUCUGGAACGGUACUGACGCUGAGACGCGAAAGCGUGGGGAGCGAACAGG
Molecule: ribosomal RNA, 253 nt
Filed under: uncultured bacterium
Lineage: Bacteria
Description: partial 16S ribosomal RNA
Rfam family: Bacterial small subunit ribosomal RNA
Source: RNAcentral